UGAAUGCCUAUAAAUUCCGUGGACCAUUGGAGGCUCAACACACUAGUGCUGAUUGCCUGCCUGAGAGUUGUUUGGACAUGGAAGGGGGAGAUCUACAUCCUGUAUUCUCCUCUUAAACUGAAAGCAGCUGGAUAGAUAUUGCUCACUGCAACCUGAAUUAAUUUACAAGUAUCUCAGUCCCUCCCUUCCUUCCCUGAAUUAUAGAAGGCAUCAUCCAAGAGACAAACCCACAUAUAUACACAUAUCUCAUUCUCUGGAGAUGACAUUCACAACUUAUUCUUCAAUUAUUAAAUCUGUAGCUGUAUAUAAUUUUCUGUUGGUUUGGUUGAUUUUGAUGUCCAUUAUCCCAUGUAUUUCUUUCCAAGUUUUUUUUAAAUUAGUAUGCUCAUGUUUUUAAUGGCAAUAUAGUGUUCCAUCAUAACCAAUAUUCCGCAAUUUGUUUAGCCAUUUACAUGUAAGUUCUUUUCCUUUUUCCUUGAUCUCUUUGCAAAAUAGACCCAACAAGAUAUUGCUUUGUCUAAGGAUAUACAUAGUUUUAUACCUCUGGGAAUAAUUCUAAAUUGUUCUCCAAAGUGUUUGGCUCACUUCACAGUUACACCAACAGUGUUUUAGGAUCCCCAUUUUUCUACCUUCUCUCCAAUGUUUGUAAUUUUGUUCUUUUUCCAUUUUAACCAAUCUGCUGGAAAAAGAUUAUAUCUCAGAAUGAAUUUGGUUUGUGUUUCUCUAAUCAGUAUUUAGAUUUAGAACAUCUUUCAUAUACUAACAUAUGGCUAUGCUUGUUUUUCUGAAAAUUAUCUUUUCAUAACUUUUGACCACUUAGCAAUUGGGUGAUGGUUCUUAUUCCUAUAAAAUUGACAGUGUUCUCUAUACAUUUUAGAUAUGAGACCUUUAUCUUAGAGUCUGUCUAUAAUUUUCCCCAAAUUUUUUUUCCAUCUAAUCUUGGCAACAUUUGUUUUUUAAAUUGAUCUAAUCAUAAUUAUCCAUUUUAUAUCUCACAACGCUGUCCUCUUCUUUGCUGAUAAAUUCCUUAAUAAAUCUGAUGUUAUGUGUUCUCUCA
This 1057-nucleotide long non-coding RNA is filed under the name Monodelphis domestica (gray short-tailed opossum). RNAcentral describes it as "lncRNA (ENSMODG00000050459.1)". The record is from RNAcentral. Lineage: Eukaryota; Metazoa; Chordata; Mammalia; Didelphimorphia; Didelphidae.